RNAcentral lists this unclassified non-coding RNA (334 nucleotides) under plant metagenome. Its description in RNAcentral is "partial contains small subunit ribosomal RNA, internal transcribed spacer 1, and 5.8S ribosomal RNA". The record is from RNAcentral.
UUUCCGUAGGUGAACCUGCGGAAGGAUCAUUAUUGAGAUGCAACGGCGCCCUGUUUAGUUGUUGCAAUGUAGAGUCAGUGCUGGCUUCUGAAGUAUGUGCACGCUUUACUUGUAGCUCUAACUUGGUGAUAACCGUUUCUUAUCCAUCCACCUGUGCACUUUUUGUAGGAGUUUUUAUUAGGUUGGCUUUCAAGUCGAAAGACUUUGUUAGUUGGCAUAAUAGGACUUCUAUGUCUUUACAAACCAUUGAAGUAUGUCUAGAAUGUCAUUUUACUGGGACUUCAUUGACCCUUUAAACUUUAUACAACUUUCAGCAACGGAUCUCUUGGCUCUC